AGGCGGGGCUUGCGCGGCGGAAGGCUUCGAAUCAGGUCAGGACCGGAAGGGAGCAGCCUUAAGGGGUUACUUUCGGGUGACGUGGGAUUUCCUGGAAGGA
RNAcentral lists this signal recognition particle RNA (100 nucleotides) under Anaerolineales bacterium HSG24. RNAcentral describes it as "signal recognition particle sRNA small type". It matches the Rfam family "Bacterial small signal recognition particle RNA". Rfam says of the family: The signal recognition particle (SRP) is a universally conserved ribonucleoprotein involved in the co-translational targeting of proteins to membranes. Archaeal SRP consists of a 7S RNA and homologues of the eukaryotic SRP19 and SRP54 proteins. The record is from RNAcentral. Lineage: Bacteria; Bacillati; Chloroflexota; Anaerolineae; Anaerolineales.